This 5870-nucleotide unclassified non-coding RNA is filed under the name Homarus americanus (American lobster). Its description in RNAcentral is "calcitonin gene-related peptide type 1 receptor-like, transcript variant X5". Lineage: Eukaryota; Metazoa; Arthropoda; Malacostraca; Decapoda; Nephropidae. The record is from RNAcentral.
GUAGCGGCCACAAGGACUGUGACGAGAAUGGCACGUGGUUCACUCAUCCCGACACCAACAACUUCUGGUCCAACUACACAACCUGCAUUGACGUCUCCAACCUCGAGCUUCAUCAGGGAGUCAACACUAUCUACAUCGCCGGGUAUUCCAUGUCCCUCGUUGCUCUUUGUAUCUCCCUCUUCAUCUUCUUCUUCUUCAAAUCCCUGAAGUGCACUCGUGUGACCAUUCAUAAGAACCUGUUUGUAAGCUUCAUUAUCAACAACGCCAUGUGGUUAGUUUGGUUCGAGUGUGUGGUUGGGAGGGUUGACGUCGUCUUCAGCAACACGGUUGGGUGUCAGGUGCUGCACGUUUUCCUCCACUAUUUCCUAGUCUCCAACUAUUUCUGGAUGUUCUGCGAGGGCCUCUACCUGCACACCCUGCUCGUCGUUGCCUUCGUCGCCGAGGACAGGAUUAUGAAGUGGUUCUACAUGCUGGGCUGGGGUGCCCCGGCCGUCUUCACCAUUAUCUACGGAGCAUGUAGAGGCACCGACGAUGAACAGAGUGUUUACUGUUGGAUGGAAGACGGGAACUACAACUACAUCCUGAACGUACCUGUGGUGUUGUCUAUGCUCCUCAAUCUCUUCUUCCUCGUCAACAUCGUCAGGGUUCUCGUCACCAAACUGCGAGCCGUCAACACCGCCCCUGAUACGCACUCCACCCGCAAGGCGGUCCGCGCGACACUUAUCCUCAUUCCGCUGCUGGGCCUUCACUACAUCCUCAUCCCCUUCAGGCCCCCCAAGGGUUCACCAGCCGAGGGCUUCUACCUCGUCGUCUCCGCCAUCGCCGCCUCCCUCCAGGGUCUGGGUGUUUCGCUGCUCUUCUGCUUCUUCAAUGGAGAGGUUCUUGGUAUCUUCAAGAAAAAGUGGAGUCAGCACAAACUGAUGCGCGGAGGAUCUCACCCUUACGUUGGCACCACUUUCUCGUACAUGAAAUCGAGUAUGGCUGAUGGGAACACGACAGUCACCAACUACGGCACAACCAUUGAAGGGGACGACGUGUAGACGGGGACCUCAGGUAUACGUGGACCAGAUCACGACGAGUCAAGACAGUCAAGACACCAAACACGUGUUGCCAGAAGGGAUAUAUCGAUGAACAAAAAUUAGGAUUGAAAUAUCGUAAUGCGUAUUUUAAUCCAAAAGGGAUUUUCUCAAUGAAGUGAAAUCACCAAAAUCUUAAUUAUUAUUUUUCCCUUUAGCAUAAUUUCGCACAAAAAUGCCUCAAUGUUUAUCAGGCCAAAAUGGGAGUAUUUUCCUUAGAUAUAAAUCAGUGCAAAGACUUUUCAAAUUUCAUCGAACCAAAGGCUCUGCCAUUAACCUAAGUUGAGAUAUCUGAUUGUUUAUUAAUACAAAAAGAUUUUUCCCUCUGACAUACAGUAUAUACACCCUAACUAGUAUCACUGUUUAUUGAUUCAAAGGGAAUUUUAAUCUUUAAUAUCAACAAACUCCGAAAUAUUUCAACGUUUAUCAUUCUAAUUGGGAUUAUAUCCACGGGGGAAUGUUGACCACUCAAUGAUAUUUUCAAUCCCAAAGUCGGUAAACUUGCAUAAGAAACUGAAAAUUACUGAAAACUAGAAUACCGUUAAUGUAAUUACGUUAAAUUCCUGCAGUGUGUCGGGGAGGUCUCACUGUAAGCUUUUGUGUAUAAAACCACGUGUCCUCUCUACCAUUUCCGUGUUGUCUGUGGAAGUCAGGAUCCACCGAACUGCCAUCAUCCACACUUAUAGUGGGAAAUUAGUUUCACUUUGUAUAUAUAUUUCCUAUCCUGUCAUCAACACCUGCAAGUUUAUUUAAUUGUAUCUCUCCAUUUAUCUGUCUCUCUGUGUCUAUUUCUCUUUCUGUCGUUUCUCUGUUCAUCGUUAUAUGUCUUUACAUAUCUGCUGAUCUAGUAAUCUCUCUUCACCUGUUUAUACACCUGCAACUCUAGUUCUCUACCUAAUCAUCUCUCUAUUUACCCACUCUGUUAAUUACUUAUCUAUAUGCACAUAGAGAGAUAGAAACAUAAAUAGACAGAUCAUUUAGAGUAGAAAUGGAGAUACCAAUAACAGUAUACAUAUGCGUAAAACCUGCGCUACAGCAGCAGAUACGAGAGCCAACUAAUCACAAGGAGACGAGAUAGAGGGUGAUAGGGGACAAGAGCCUCGACACGCACACACAUUCCCAGCCUCGUUAUUUCCCGCGGGGCGAAUGUAACUCGUCUACAACAAUGUUCCGUAGAACGUGGAGAACAAAGCAAAAUUUUGAUGUUAAUGUUUUUUUUCAUCGAUAAAAUAAUAAGUAAUAAUAAGAAUGAAGGGGGAGAGAGACGAUUAUUCUUUGGCUGAGGAUGCGAUGGUAAAUUUUCAAAGUAAAUGAUAGAAAAAACAAAGAAUUCACCGAGGUGAUAUGGCAAGAUAGAGCUUUAAAAAUACAUGAAUGACACAAAAAUAGAUAUUAAUGAACGUACUUUAGGAUGGUACAUGUGGGUUAAUCUAACUACUGAAUUAAUUUUCAGUUCCUUACCGUUCACCAGAUACUAUAAUACACCACCUCGACGUUACCAUAGGUCUAUAAUACACCACCUCGACGUUACCAUAGGUCUAUAAUACACCACCUCGACGUUACCAUAGGUCUAUAAUACACCACCUCGACGUUACCAUAGGUCUAUAAUACACCACCUCGACGUUACCAUAGGUCUAUGUAGACAUACCGUGUCUUAACAAAUUCUUCGUCACAAGGAUGGGGUUAUGUAUGCCUCGAUUACUUUCGAUGUUUAACGAGCGUAGGGAGGAUAUUUAGAUGAUGUUUAUUACUGGUGGAUGAACUAAUGACUUCAAAUGUCUGAAGAUAGCAGGAAUUUUGUCGAGUUUGUUAUCUCUGGCUAUCCUACGUGACCAAAGAUGAACCUUUCGUCUGGGUUUCCUCGGCUGGCCUCUGUUGUGUACUUACCAACCAUCAUCUGCGUCUAUCUGUUUGUAGUUUGUUAACUUUUUGGCACAGAUAUAUAUCCCAUCAUAUCAUAUCAUGACAUAAGAGAGGUACUUUUUGGUCUUCAUUUUAACUGGUAGGCGUAUUGUACAGUCGACCGAUGCCUCCGUUACUGUUUCUACUAUAACAAGUCGUUGGGAGACUCGGUCAAGACCAAACCUUUGGUAAGAACAGCUAGCUAGUGUGUUUAAGCCCAAGACAACAAAAAUAGCAUCGACGGUGUUGACUGAGUCUCCCUUACAACGACAGGUAUUGUUCUCACCGUCGGUAUAAUAAUGUUCUUACUCAUUAUGGUGACGCCACAUCACCUGGGAGGCUCUAGAGCUUUGUAGCGUGUAUCAUGCGUAUCUUAGAACUGCUUAUCAUUUAAACUUGAAUAUUGCAAUUAAAGUUUAUGAAUCAAUUCUUUUUCAUAAAUACGCCUCUACACUGCGAGCCCAGUGACGCCACUGAUGGAAGUUCAGCACACAGAACACAUGCAACUCACAGUCUCUGGAAAUAACUCUCUAAAUAUCAUUUGCUAAUGGAUUUAAGCCGUGAGUUAUUUAUUACCAACGCACAUUAAUAACUAAAUCAUAUAUUCCAGAUUUGUGGAGUGACUACAGGUCACUCAUAAUUGUAAGGCAGUGUUGGUAGAUAACUGGCGAAAGUUCGGCUGAUAUAACUUAGUUAAACGUGUCAUAACAGAGUGGAUAGGGACGCCUGGCGCUAGUUCUUAGGCGAUACGAUCCUUAGAGGCGCAAUUGGACUCCACAUACAGUAACAGACUCUCUCAGUCCUUGAAGAGGAGAUUUAAAUUAAAGCAUAGGGAUUUUUUUCUGGGACUCAGACUAACAAGACCAAUCCCCUCAUCCCACUGACUAUACACCUUGGAGACGAUGGACAGUGUGACAGGGGAUUACACUUGCGUGAGAAAAUAUUAUCGAGUUUGUUCAGUAAUGGCACUCUGACCCAUAACAUGGGUCCUACUUGGUGCCCGUAGACUAAGGUGUAGUAAGACUUGAUGUCACUAGCCAAUCCGUAAUAAAUUUUAUGUGAAUUUUAGGUGUACGGAUAAAUAGUAUUACUGUGAAUGAAAUAUAAAGCAUAUAUGAACGUCUUUUAGUAUAUUUGCCAAAACAAGUAUAUAACACGAUAUUUAACCGUAAUCCUCAUGACUACUUCUCCACAUCUACUACCACAAUAUUAUCAACAAAACAAAAGCAUUUAAUCUGCCAGAUACAUGAUAUUUUUGUACACUAAAUCUAUUCUUGACUUAGAUGUAGGAAAAAAAGUAGAGCUAAAUUCUUAAUAUACCUCGGGCAAUUGAUGUAGAGAAACCAAUAGUUGCUUUUAUAAACAUUAUUUUUCUAUGUGUAAAUACAAGUCAAAUGUAUAGACUGUAAACUCUGCCCUAAGAGACAGUUAUUUUUCUCUUUCCUGUUUCUUCCAGUAGCAUGUAUGUGCAUCCAUCGCCUUCACAACCAUUGUCAUUUCAAAAAAUUCAUCAAAGACAGUGCAAUAUGUACGAGUAACUCUCACUUUAGCUUCCUCUCGUAGGGGGUAAACCUGCAUUAUGUAGGCCAGUUGAUGAAGGAGGAUAACCUCUUCGUUACAGGAUAUUCUGUCGCUGUGGGGUAACUCAAGGGACCCCUUAGUGAGAGGAGGAAGACGCCCCCCUUCGUUGCAGGAUAUUCUAGGUUGCUAAAUCAUCAUUUUUCUCCUACUAUCCCUAUAUGACCUUGACAACUAGGUUCCCAAUAUCAUAUUCAUCUGUAAAAAAUAAACUGAAUUAUCAAAACAAAUAGUAUAAGGUUAAUUUUAGGGCCAUAGUCUAACGGUAUAUCAUUAUUAUGUUGUUGUAGAAUCGUGUCAUGUACCCGCACAUGUAUCUGAGUGUAUUCAUGCAAGACUUGUGAAAUUUGGAUGUGUGUGUUUACAUCUGUCUUGCUACGGUUCUUGCUAACAAAGGUAAAUCCCCUUAUUCAGUGAUGGAUGAAGUCGUUAAAGGGAUUCAUGUGUGUGUGUGGUUUAUAUCUUAUUUACGAUUCUUUUUUUUACUUCAUUUAGAAUAAAAUGAUGAAUUUAUGUUGAUGAAUCCCCAAGUUGUGUAAUUUGUGUGGCAAGUAUUGAUAAGUUAGGUUAUUACUAACAGAGGAAUUUACUAAGAAUGGGAAGAUGGUCGACGCCCAGUACAAAUAAUGGAAUACAUAUAGUAAACAAGAGGCGAUGAGAAAUUCCUUCCCUCUCGACUGUGUUCUUGUCUUAAAAUAUUUCAUUGCUUUCUUCAUAUACUCUAAUAGGAAUCUUAUCCUUCCUCUAUAAGAAAGAUGUUUAGAGUAGAUUCUCACCCGGUUAACUAUAUAGUGACGUUAGUGAAGAUGAUGCCACUAAUAUAGGCUAAGAUACAUACUAAACUGAGCAUGAAAUCAACAGGUUACAGAUCUGAUUAAUUCCGAGGAACAAGGUGCAAUGAAACCCAGAAGGGAAGACUUCAGAGUGACACUGAUGUAUCACUUUUUAUUACAGGUGAUAUUUACCUAGAACUAAUAUUAUUGACAGUUCAACCAAUGUAUGGUAGAAUGUUAGUCACUUAAAGGAAUUUUCAUAGGGCCCAGCGAUCAAUUUAUUAUUCCAAGAGAAGAAUCGCUCCUAAUAGGUAAAAUUAUUGGUUUUCAAGAAUCAGAAUUAAUCAUUGCUAUUUUUCCACUGUGUUCUUUCGUUGUUUGUUCACUUAUGAGUUCUCACAUCAGCAUCUGGUUCUUCCUUACCACGGAGCUUCGUAUGAUAAUCUCCCUGGUGCUUUCUUUUUUCCUCCUGUUCUACUUUGUGACAUUAAUGUGUUAUGGCAUUUAAUUGUAUGUGUUACAAAUAUGAAUGUAUGGUGGA